Sus scrofa (pig) is the source of this 4016-nucleotide long non-coding RNA. RefSeq lists it as uncharacterized. The record is from RefSeq and is a predicted model, not a curated record. Lineage: Eukaryota; Metazoa; Chordata; Mammalia; Artiodactyla; Suidae.
GGCUGUCGGCGCGGCCGGGGGGCGGGGGCCGCGCGGCGAGCCGCCUGCGGGCGUGGGGCUGCGAGGACGGCUGGGCCACCGCGGCACCGGGACCCGGCGGGCGCGGCGCGAGAGGAGGACGCGGAGCGCGUGCAGUGGCUCCCAGCCGCCCAGCCCAGCUGCCCGCUCGCCGCCGCUCUACACAGGGCGCUCUGGCAUAACUACUGCAGAGGGGCUGCAGGCUCGGGCGCGCUGAUUGGCUUCCCAGCAGCCGUCCCCUCUGACUGGCUCUGGGAGAAGUUCCCCAGCCUCACUCCUCCUUCCCGCUGCUCAUUGGCCUGCAGCCGGGAGGGCUUUUCCCUUUAGGAUUUUUGCGACCUCCCUAUCCUCCCUUGGGGUGCGUGGGGGUUCCUGGCUCAGGUGCCCCUCCUCCCAGCCCAGUCCAGCUCGUCUCUGGCCACCAGAGCCGCUCACGUCCUCCUCCUCGCCACAAAAUCCACCUCCUCUUCCUGCUCUCCGAUGGGGCUUCCUUCGAACCGUUUUCCCCAACGCAGCUCCGGCGGGGUUCGCAAACCCAACCCACGGAUGGUCUCACUCAGGGGCAGCUGGGGACCACAGUUCGCAGCCUGCAUCAUCUUCGAAUACCGUACCUCAAACGUCUGACAGCCGUGGGGUUUCCUAGGGUUAAUUUAAUAGAGCCACACAAAGGGUAGGCACCUGAUCCCAGGUUGUUAAAAGAAUCGUCUCCUUUAAGCUCGCCCCCGGUGACCCUUCAUGAAGCCAAGCAUAACUGGGGACAAGAUAACCUGGGGCUUAAAGUCAGCCUGACCCAUGAGAAAAUCGCUUCACACAGCACAUUCAUUGAGCCAGAGCUAGCCUGUUUGAGAGGUCUCCUAGCCCCAAAUCCCCACCUCUUCCCGCUUCAAUUUCACCAUCUGAAAUUCCGUGCUUUGCCAGUCAAAUGCUUCUCAGCGGAGGAUGGCAUUUAGUCAUGACCCCAUGCGCCUCAGUAGGGAUCUUUAACUCCCACAUUCCUUCUGAUGACUUCCACACACACCUCAGCACAAUGUCAGGCACAUAGUAGGCCCUCAAAAGUACUUGUAUAAUGAAAUGAUUAGCACCUCCGUGUGAGUGUGUGUUGUCUUGAUCUAGGUCAAAAUAGGUUUGGCUAAGGCAGGGAAAGGGAGAGCCUCUGCCCCAGGAAUCCUGCGGGGAGAGCCAGGCCACGGGCGAGGAGGUCCUGGGCCAGAACUGGCGGGCUGAGGAGGGAGGCGAAGGGAGGGUAGGUGGCCAAGGACCUCAUUCAUUCAUUCGUUCAUUCACUGACAAAUAUUUGAAGUGCUGCUACGUGCCAGACUCUGCGAGAGCCUAACAAACAAUGGGGAUACAAAGAUUAACCUGUGGUACCUGACCUCAAAGAGCUACAGGUCUUGUGGGAAAGGCAGCCAAACAGAAAAUGUUAACCCAGUAUGUGGGAAGUGCUAACAUCGAGGCAAAUGCAGAGUUCUAAGGGGUGAGAAAGGCAGGUCACAGAAAGCUUCCCAGAAGAGGCGGUGCCCUAAACUCGGGCUUGAAAGACCAGUAGGAGUCGAGAAACAACCGUCCUACUUUUCAAGGCUCCCAUCCUCAUGUUAGACGUCAGGCCCUCGACUCAGCCCUCCUCUUCCACCAGACGAGACAAAGAGAAGCAAUCAGUCCAGAAACACAAAAGGAUGUGCUGAUUGAGCCAGGGUUCACGUUCUACAAUUCAGGGCUCCGUGCUGCCAGGCCCAAUUGGAAGCAUUUAGAGAACCCCGCCGGGCCCCAUCUUCCCCUUUGGGCCUCAGAGGAAGGCUACCUAGCACAGCAGGCCCAGAAGAACUUUUCUUCACCUUUCGUUCCUGGUCUCCAGUUUGCAAGAAUUCGAGAAUUCCCAGCUGUAGCCAGCAGCUAUUAUCUUGCUGUAGCUGGGAGGAGAGUCUGGGUCCAUGGCUCCAAAAGCAGCAUAAAUCAAGGUUUCUGGGAGAGGCUUACGAAACGGUGUUCAACAGCUGCCGCCUUGGGAGGGGCUCACACAGAGCCAUGCACGCGGCCACACACACACAGGGUUUGUCUUGGGCCCAGUUCCCUUGCCCCCCCCCCCCCGCAGGUGAUGCUCUCCCCUCCCCGUCCCCCUCGCGCGCACAGUACCUUCUCCCCUUCGCGCCUCCCUCAAGACCUGCUUUCAGCGGAGAAAUUUCCAAGCUCAUCUGCUUACAGUGUAUAUGGUCGAUAGGAUAUGAUGGGGCCGCCCACCCAGGGGCAGGGGUCCUUUAACAGGGAUCAAAGCUCGAAACCAAAGCAACAGGGCUCUAAAACCUGCGGAAUUCUAGGCAUCUGCCAGUGGGAAGGGAGUGUUUAAACUGAGGGGCAAUGAGGCCUUUUUUGGUACACCUGAAAUCACAUCAUGUAGACAGUUGCUUAUAUGUCAGGCCGGUGCUGCUCACAGCCAGCACCUCCCUGGCCACACCUCUGCACGCUAUGGCACACAGCCACUUUGUCUCCCUUCUCCCGCAGUGUAUGACUCCUUUGUGGGGCGGAGGGGAGGGGAGGCGCCAGGCACACUGAUCCCAAUUCUCCCAAAUGUAUAAGCUAUGAUCAGAGAAUGAAUUAUGGUCCUUUGGGAAAGAGUGUUCAUUCAUUCAUCCCAGCCAGCAGGCCAGUGCCAUGUAAAUGGUAACUUUGUAAGUUGAAAGACUUAGAGCCAUUUUGAAAAUUGCAUAAUAAUCCCAGGCAGAAUUUGGCUCCAUGUGUAUGGAAAAUUAAUAGGCCCAGCUGAGAUGCUUGCAUUAUGAGUUGUGGAUGGAGAGCGUCUCCUCAGACCAGGGCUAGGCUUUGCCUCACUAAAUCCACAAAAUAUACUGAGGUUCUUGUGAGGUAGAUGCAAGACUUGGGAAAAAAACCUUUUGGGAUUUUUAUUUGUGGCAUCAUGUUGGGAUGACUUCCAAUAAAAAGUUAUUCUGUGCUGUCUGCAUGUGUCGAAAGGAUAUUGAUCUAGAUGGCCAACGUAUUUCUUCAUACCCCUAGUCCACUUUUUUUUUCCAUUGGCCAGAUAUACUGUAUUUUGUCUCUCUUGCAGAGGCUAUUUGGUUUCAUGUUAAAACUUAAGAGGUGUGUAGUUUGGUGAGUGAGAGGAUGGUAGCUUGAAACCUAAAGGCUGGUGAUGCUGCCUGAGGCGUGGCUUUAUGUGCCACGUGGCAAUUCAUGAAUACUUCGUAUUGCUUUGAAUUAUUGUGGCCCCCAAAACCCAGCAGUUCAGGUAACGUAAUAUAUUUAUUUUAUGUACGAUGUGUGGAAUCUAUAAGUAAGUUGACUGUGCUUUUUCCUGGGACGUUAUGCUCUGGAACCUGGGGCCCUGGAGGUCCCCAGUGGAUCUCCAACGGCUGACCGCUCGCAGGCCUGCUUCCCUCGGGAUCCUCUCCCAUCUCCAGAGCUCCCUUAAUUCCCAGCAACGCAUGGGAGGACGUCAGCAGCCACCAGCACAGACAGCCGCUCGUACUUUCAGCGACCUCCUGCACCCCGCUUCCCAGGCCUCAUCUGCAGUCUCAAGGCUGGGCGAUUUCACAGGUAGCAUCUCUCUCAUAAGAAGAGGCCCUUCCCCAGCAGCACCCCGACCUCUGUAGUCAUCGUAAAGGCUAUCCAUUAGGAACCGUGUUCUCGAGAGGCAGUAUAGGGUUGAGACCUACAGCCAAAGAAAAGGAACAGCCGUAGCAGACCGUUCCACACCCCACCGCCCUGCCAGCCCGGAGCCUCCCAUCCUUGCUCCACCACCACCUGGGGUGACCACUGCCUUUCCCGCCUUGCAUAGCGAAUGCUAUGUGUACCAUUCUGUCUCCAUCACGACUUGCAAGCUUUAGAUGCCCAGGGCUUCAUAGUCAUGUCAGAAAAUGAAAAUAAUAGAAAGUAAACUUGAUCCUUCACUACAGACGGUGUGAGAAGCCUUACCCUAAGCAGGCAUACGGUGCCUUGGCCCAUGGUAGUCGCUGAGUAACUGUUUCUAAAUAAAGCCCCGAAAACAC